RNAcentral lists this ribosomal RNA (88 nucleotides) under Burkholderia reimsis. Its description in RNAcentral is "partial 23S ribosomal RNA". It matches the Rfam family "Bacterial large subunit ribosomal RNA", at positions 2844 to 2925 of the family's 2925-position model. Lineage: Bacteria; Pseudomonadati; Pseudomonadota; Betaproteobacteria; Burkholderiales; Burkholderiaceae. RNAcentral also lists the same sequence under 1 other name. The record is from RNAcentral.
ACCAGGACGUUGAUAGGUCAGGUGUGUAAGCGCAGUAAUGCGUUCAGCUAACUGAUACUAAUUGCCCGUAAGGCUUGAUCCUAUAACA